This 253-nucleotide ribosomal RNA is filed under the name uncultured bacterium. RNAcentral describes it as "partial 16S ribosomal RNA". It matches the Rfam family "Bacterial small subunit ribosomal RNA", at positions 524 to 776 of the family's 1533-position model. The record is from RNAcentral.
UACGUAGGGUGCAAUCGUUAAUCGGAAUUACUGGGCGUAAAGCGUGCGCAGGCGGUUUUGUAAGUCUGACGUGAAAUCCCCGGGCUCAACCUGGGAAUUGCGUUGGAGACUGCAAGGCUAGAAUCUGGCAGAGGGGGGUAGAAUUCCACGUGUAGCAGUGAAAUGCGUAGAGAUGUGGAGGAACACCGAUGGCGAAGGCAGCCCCCUGGGUCAAGAUUGACGCUCAUGCACGAAAGCGUGGGGAGCAAACAGG